CUCUGUAAGCUGUAAUAUUUUUUUAAUCCUCUCUAAUUUAGAUGCUGUAGAUCAUCCAUCCAUCCAUCCACUCAAGACAUAAUCUCUGAAACAUAAAGAAUUAAUUGAUGGUACUGUAACAUGGAUCCCGCUCUCCCAUGUGCUUCUUCGAACUAGAUGCUGGCUCCAACUCCCGGAGUUUGGCUGAUAUGUGACACCUGGCUCUCUGGAGGUGCCAUGGAAGGUGACCUUCUCAGGCUCCGCCUACUACCCACCUGUCUUCUGCCGUCAUCUCUAUCCUCCUUCCUGCCCUCUCCUGUGAGCAAAGCAUGCACAGAAAUGCACAUUCAACAACAGGACAAGUAAGAACGUGGCAGCGACUCAGGGAAGGAAGUAGCUACUGACUCCAUGUGGAAGACGUAGACCACCAGAAAAACACAUAAAAGAAAUAAGGACUUCACAGGAUCUUCCUCAAUGUCCUCCUCCCCGCUAAAUUGCAUUUACCAGAAACAAACAUUGCAUUUGCAAGCCAGAAUUGACCAAAAAUAUAUGUAAAAAUGAG
This 541-nucleotide long non-coding RNA is filed under the name Rattus norvegicus (Norway rat). RNAcentral describes it as "long non-coding RNA NONRATT033698". The record is from RNAcentral. Lineage: Eukaryota; Metazoa; Chordata; Mammalia; Rodentia; Muridae.